This 405-nucleotide ribosomal RNA is filed under the name uncultured Eubacteriales bacterium. RNAcentral's name for it is "uncultured Clostridiales bacterium partial 16S ribosomal RNA". It matches the Rfam family "Bacterial small subunit ribosomal RNA", at positions 355 to 774 of the family's 1533-position model. Lineage: Bacteria; Bacillati; Bacillota; Clostridia; Eubacteriales. The record is from RNAcentral.
UAGGGAAUAUUGGGCAAUGGAGGCAACUCUGACCCAGCAACGCCGCGUGAAUGAUGAAGGUCUUCGGAUUGUAAAGUUCUGUGAUUGGGGACGAAGGAAAUGACGGUACCCAAAUAGCAAGCCACGGCAAACUACGUGCCAGCAGCCGCGGUAAUACGUAGGUGGCAAGCGUUGUCCGGAUUGACUGGGUGUAAAGGGAGCGUAGGCGGUCUGUCAAGUUAGGAGUGAAAUCCCAAGGCUUAACCUUGGAACUGCUUUUAAGACUGAUGGACUGGAGUGAUGGAGAGGUAAAUGGAAUUCCUAGUGUAGCGGUGGAAUGCGUAGAUAUUAGGAGGAACACCAGUGGCGAAGGCGAUUUACUGGACAUUAACUGACGCUGAGGCUCGAAAGCGUGGGGAGCAAACA